GUCGAGGGGCAGCGGGGUUGUAGCAAUACAACUGCCGGCGACCGGCGCACGGGUGAGUAACACGUAUGUAACCUGCCCUCUGCAGGGGGAUAAGCGGAAGAAAUUCCGUCUAAUACCGCAUAAUACAAUUUGGAGACAUCUCCGGGUUGUCAAAGGAGUGAUCCGGCAGAGGAUGGACAUGCGGCGCAUUAGCUAGUCGGCGGGGUAACGGCCCACCGAGGCUACGAUGCGUAGGGGUUCUGAGAGGAAGGUCCCCCACACUGGUACUGAGACACGGACCAGACUCCUACGGGAGGCAGCAGUGAGGAAUAUUGGUCAAUGGGCGGAAGCCUGAACCAGCCAAGUCGCGUGAGGGAAGACGGUCCUAUGGAUUGUAAACCUCUUUUGCAGGGGAACAAGGCGCGGUACGUGUACCGCGAAGGAGAGUACCCUGAGAAAAAGCAUCGGCUAACUCCGUGCCAGCAGCCGCGGUAAUACGGAGGAUGCGAGCGUUAUCCGGAUUUAUUGGGUUUAAAGGGUGCGCAGGCGGACUGUUAAGUCAGCGGUAAAAUGUCGGUGCUCAACACCGGCCGGCCGUUGAAACUGGCAGCCUUGAGUGAGCGAGAAGUAUGCGGAAUGCGUGGUGUAGCGGUGAAAUGCAUAGAUAUCACGCAGAACUCCGAUUGCGAAGGCAGCAUACCGGCGCUCAACUGACGCUCAGGCACGAAAGCGUGGGUAUCGAACAGGCUUAGAUACCCUGGUAGUCCACGCAGUAAACGAUGAAUGCUCACUGUCUGGG
RNAcentral lists this ribosomal RNA (778 nucleotides) under uncultured bacterium. RNAcentral's name for it is "bacterial SSU rRNA". It matches the Rfam family "Bacterial small subunit ribosomal RNA", at positions 61 to 828 of the family's 1533-position model. The record is from RNAcentral.